AUUAGAGUUUGAUCCUGGCUCAGAACGAACGCUGGCGGCGUGCCUAAUACAUGCAAGUCGAGCGGACAGAUGGGAGCUUGCUCCCUGAUGUUAGCGGCGGACGGGUGAGUAACACGUGGGUAACCUGCCUGUAAGACUGGGAUAACUCCGGGAAACCGGGGCUAAUACCGGAUGGUUGUCUGAACCGCAUGGUUCAGACAUAAAAGGUGGCUUUGGCUACCACUUACAGAUGGACCCGCGGCGCAUUAGCUAGUUGGUGAGGUAACGGCUCACCAAGGCAACGAUGCGUAGCCGACCUGAGAGGGUGAUCGGCCACACUGGGACUGAGACACGGCCCAGACUCCUACGGGAGGCAGCAGUAGGGAAUCUUCCGCAAUGGACGAAAGUCUGACGGAGCAACGCCGCGUGAGUGAUGAAGGUUUUCGGAUCGUAAAGCUCUGUUGUUAGGGAAGAACAAGUGCCGUUCAAAUAGGGCGGCACCUUGACGGUACCUAACCAGAAAGCCACGGCUAACUACGUGCCAGCAGCCGCGGUAAUACGUAGGUGGCAAGCGUUGUCCGGAAUUAUUGGGCGUAAAGGGCUCGCAGGCGGUUUCUUAAGUCUGAUGUGAAAGCCCCCGGCUCAACCGGGGAGGGUCAUUGGAAACUGGGGAACUUGAGUGCAGAAGAG
Molecule: ribosomal RNA, 669 nt
Filed under: Bacillus subtilis
Lineage: Bacteria; Bacillati; Bacillota; Bacilli; Caryophanales; Bacillaceae
Description: bacterial SSU rRNA
Rfam family: Bacterial small subunit ribosomal RNA
Source: RNAcentral